Molecule: ribosomal RNA, 681 nt
Filed under: uncultured bacterium
Lineage: Bacteria
Description: bacterial SSU rRNA
Rfam family: Bacterial small subunit ribosomal RNA
Source: RNAcentral
GGAUACCACUUGGAAACAGGUGCUAAUACCGGAUAACAACAAUAGCUGCAUGGCUAUUGCUUAAAAGGCGGCGAAAGCUGUCGCUAAAGGAUGGACCCGCGGUGCAUUAGCUAGUUGGUAAGGUAAUGGCUUACCAAGGCGACGAUGCAUAGCCGAGUUGAGAGACUGAUCGGCCACAUUGGGACUGAGACACGGCCCAAACUCCUACGGGAGGCAGCAAUAGGGAAUCUUCCACAAUGGGCGAAAGCCUGAUGGAGCAACGCCGCGUGAGUGAAGAAGGUUUUCGGAUCGUAAAGCUCUGUUGUUGGUGAAGAAGGAUAGAGGUAGUAACUGGCCCCUAUUUGACGGUAAUCAACCAGAAAGUCACGGCUAACUACGUGCCAGCAGCCGCGGUAAUACGUAGGUGGCAAGCGUUGUCCGGAUUUAUUGGGCGUAAAGCGAGCGCAGGCGGAAAGAUAAGUCUGAUGUGAAAGCCCCCGGCUUAACCGAGGAAUUGCAUCGGAAACUGUGUUUCUUGAGUGCAGAAGAGGAGAGUGGAACUCCAUGUGUAGCGGUGGAAUGCGUAGAUAUAUGGAAGAACACCAGUGGCGAAGGCGGCUUACUGGACUGUAACUGACGUUGAGGCUCGAAAGCGUGGGGAGCAAACAGGAUUAGAUACCCUGGUAGUCCACGCCGUAAACG